This 75-nucleotide transfer RNA is filed under the name Asphondylia rosetta. RNAcentral's name for it is "tRNA-Pro". The record is from RNAcentral. Lineage: Eukaryota; Metazoa; Arthropoda; Insecta; Diptera; Cecidomyiidae.
UUUUAAUUAAAUUAAUUUAUCUUAAAAUAUUAAUUUUGGAAAUUAAAAAAAAAUUAAUUUUAUUAUUAUUAAGAU